Molecule: transfer RNA, 69 nt
Filed under: Ictidomys tridecemlineatus (thirteen-lined ground squirrel)
Lineage: Eukaryota; Metazoa; Chordata; Mammalia; Rodentia; Sciuridae
Description: Spermophilus tridecemlineatus (thirteen-lined ground squirrel) tRNA
Rfam family: tRNA
About the family: Transfer RNA (tRNA) molecules are approximately 80 nucleotides in length. Their secondary structure includes four short double-helical elements and three loops (D, anti-codon, and T loops).
Source: Rfam by way of RNAcentral
GGGGUUGUGGCUCAGCGGUGGAGUGCUCACCUAGCACGUGAGAGGCCCUGAGUUCUAUUCUCAGCACCA